Molecule: long non-coding RNA, 2997 nt
Organism: Cyprinus carpio carpio
Lineage: Eukaryota; Metazoa; Chordata; Actinopteri; Cypriniformes; Cyprinidae
Source: Ensembl
UAGCGACUAUAGUUGUGAAUCUUCACUUGCCUUACGAUUCGUUUUUUUUUUUUAACGAUUCAAUUAUAAAACGAUUUUCGGUGCAUCCUUUCCUCAAAUUCUUUUAUUAAUAAUAAUUACUAUAUUAAUCAUAGUAUAGUUAUUAUUUUAUCUUUAUUAAAAAUAAAAACCAACAUGCAAAUAAACUUUAGAAUCAACUAAAACAAAUGUAAAAAUCACUACACAGUCUUUAGUGUAUUUAUUACAAAUAAAGUAGUUCAGUCAAGAGCAGCGAGUGAUUCCCUCUUUUCUUGAAUUGUUUGAUUAACAUUAAUAAGACUGACGCGGCCUAUAUAUUAAACCCUUUUCGUGGUUUAUCACUCUUAAUAACUCUUUUAACAUUCAUCAAGUCCCACACUUUAUAUUCUCAUCCCUGCAUGUUCCUCUCAAAUGUCAGACGCAAGUGCUUUGCUUCUGAUAGACAAACUGAACUUUUUAAAACUUAGAAGGUAGACCUGUCAGAAAACGUACAAAUAAAGAUAAUUUCAUAUGUUUAAUUACUAUUUGGAGCAUUGGGAUCAUUAGACGAGGGUUUAAUGAACCCGUUUUUGUGAAAAAUACAAAUUUGACCAAAAAAUUAACUUUUUUUCACUUGUUUUGCCUGUAGCUUGUAAUUAGCUGUGCGCAUUCUGACUCAUGUUGCCAGCACGGGUCACAUAUGAGGUGCACAUUCAAAACAUCACUUCAUUUAUUUGUUCUUGAGUUAUUUUUGAUUUUCCUCUUCAGUCAGGUGAAUCUCAUUAAAACAUGACUGGAUCACGUUUCACUUCAAAAGCAAAAAUAAUCGAAAUAAAUAAUCAUAUACAUAAGAAUGAAAAUGUCUUUGCAUAUAUGAUAUUGUUUACAAAACAUUUACCCCAAAUUCUGUUCUGAAUAAUGAUUCUCAUUUUUGUAAUAGAGAAAAAAAACCUCUGUAAUAAAAAAAAAAAACUACUCAGUGAUAGGGAUUUAAAAAAUGUAAUUAGCUUCUUAAAUUAAAUGCAAAAGAAAUACUACAUUGAUGUAUAAAUACUUAAGGAUUUUAAUAUAUAAAAUCUAAAUAAUAUUCCCAUAUAUUAUAUUGUUAUAUAAUGAAUUGUUCUCAAUUUUUUUAUUAUUAUAUGUAUUUAUACCUCUUUUUUGCAUUUUAAUAUUUUGAAAUAAUCUUUUUAAAUUGCUACGCUCUUAAGUGUUUAAAUUAAAUUAAAUUCCAUAUUUAAAAUCUUUUAGAUAUUGGGGUGAAAUGUGGCCUUUACAUGUUCUUGACAGAUUUCGUGUCACCCUCUGAUUUUGUUGAUCUUCAGACGAAACCACAAGUUUGUUCUUUUGGACUGAAAAAUUCAGGCCCCCAAAAAAUUACACCAAAAAUAUUCAUAAUAUUCAUCAAGUCAGACAAACAGACUGACAAUAAACGUUCCUUGUUUUCGUUUUCCAAGAUUGUUAGCACUUCACGGCUGGCAUUUUCGGCGUUCCUAACCGGCAGCUGGCACCUCACUGUGUCUCCUGCGCUGACGGAUGGUGACACCAGCACAGCGCUUGUCUGAAUAAUGUGCCCAGACCUGGAGUUCAAUCUCAGUUCAUCAGCAGAUUGAUAGAGGCAUUGAAAGCUUCCAUAUGUUCUCCAUGUAGUGACAUCUUAGCUGAAGCUCUCGGUUCUCAAACGGGCCCCCAGGGAGGCAGGAAGGGAAGACAAACCAGAUAUUAAAUGGACACGUCUGCCUCAUGAUCUACAGAGACUGAUAUCUAUCAUGAUCAGUGUGUGCACAUUCACGGUUAUUAAUGUUAAUGUCACUUUAGUUCUGACGAAGUUGUCUUGAGUUUGGCUUUAAUUCAAACCAAAUCUAUGGCAGCUGAUUCUCACCCUGCCUUUCAUUUUGCACGUUUUUUGCUCCUGAAAGGGAUCAUUUACACAGACUCAUCAUUUAUUCACCCUCUUGUGAUUCCAAAUAGUUAGGACUUAGUUCUCACAUUUUAAACUCUUUUUGGAAUGAAAGGCAGUGGGGUCCAGUGUUCUUUUGGACCCCAUUGACUUUCAUUACAGUGCUACAAAGAGUGAAAUUAAAGUCAGUGAGGUCCAAAAUAACACUGGAGUGUGAGUAAAUGAUGACAGUUACAUUUUAGUUGAACUAUUCCUAUAAUGUCUCUAGUGAUUUUCUAUUUGGUGUGUUUUUGCUCCGUCCACCUCAUGUUCUCCUCAGGUUUUGAAUGACAACAUGAAUCUGUCCCAGACAUAUUAGUUUGACACGUUUCUCUUUUUUUCCCCUGUGUGGUUUGCCAGCGGUUUACUGAUGUAAUCUGUGAUGUGUUUGAUACUGUAAAGUGAUCGCUGCUCUCUGUGAGAGCGCUGUCUCCUGAUCUAAGAGAACCUAAUCUGAACCUGCGCUUGAGUUUACACGGUUUCUUCUGUAGGUUUGGGUUCAAACUGCUGUUGAUUUAAAGGGAAAUGUAUCUGUAGGAUCUUGUUUGUGGACAGAAUGGACGUCUUCUUAUUCAGUUCUUUCUCUGAUGUGCUCCACAAACAAAGUGUAAGAACUGAAGUAUAGGUAUUAGCAUUCAUGUCUCCCUGAAGCACAAAAGCAAGUCAUUUCACAUGGGUGAAAUGUUAUAUUGUUACCAAAUGCUCAUGUAAUAUGUCCAUGUCUGUUUUAAGCUAAACAAAUGUGCCUUCUUUCAAGGAAUCUUCCUACUUUCACAUUAAUAACGAUCUCUCUCUCUCUCUUUCUCGCUCUCAAAUGUCAUUAUUUUUCUUGAGUGUAUGAUCUGUGCAGCUUAUCACUUGCAUGUAAGUCACUUCAAAUACUUGACAAUCACAUCCACCGACGUCUCGUUAAAAUAAAAAUGGAAAUGCUCUUUUUGAUCAUUGAGAUUACCUUGUGCAUUUUUUUUUUGUUUUGUUUUUUAUUCUAUGGCUUGUUGUGUGACCACAAAAAAAAUUUCUCAAAGUGUAUGUAAAGGAUUGUUUGUCAUAUAAAAAUGUAG